This 66-nucleotide transfer RNA is filed under the name Cryptocephalus pusillus. RNAcentral describes it as "tRNA-Cys". It matches the Rfam family "tRNA". From Rfam's summary of the family: Transfer RNA (tRNA) molecules are approximately 80 nucleotides in length. Their secondary structure includes four short double-helical elements and three loops (D, anti-codon, and T loops). Lineage: Eukaryota; Metazoa; Arthropoda; Insecta; Coleoptera; Chrysomelidae. The record is from RNAcentral.
GGCCUUAAAGUUAAAAUAAUAUUAGAUUGCAAAUCUAAAGAUGGGGGAUUAAUCUUCCUAAGGCUU